Molecule: ribosomal RNA, 501 nt
Filed under: uncultured bacterium
Lineage: Bacteria
Description: partial 16S ribosomal RNA
Rfam family: Bacterial small subunit ribosomal RNA
Source: RNAcentral
AUUGAACGCUGGCGGCAUGCCUUACACAUGCAAGUCGAACGGCAGCACGGGUGCUUGCACCUGGUGGCGAGUGGCGAACGGGUGAGUAAUACAUCGGAACGUACCUUAUCGUGGGGGAUAACGCAGCGAAAGCUGUGCUAAUACCGCAUACGCCCUGAGGGGGAAAGCGGGGGAUCGCAAGACCUCGCGCGAUUAGAGCGGCCGAUGCCUGAUUAGCUUUUGGGGGGGGUAAAAGCCCACCAAGGCGACGAUCAGGAGCUGGUCUGAGAGGACGAUCAGCCACACUGGGAGUGGGACACGGACCAGACUCCUACGGGAGGCAGCAGUGGGGAAUUUUGGACAAUGGGGGCAACCCUGAUCCAGCAAUGCCGCGUGAGUGAAGAAGGCCUUCGGGUUGUAAAGCUCUUUUGUCAGGGAAGAAACACCGGCUCUAACACAGUCCGGGAAUGACGGUACCUGAAGAAUAAGCACCGGCUAACUACGUGCCAGCCGCCGCCGUAA